Molecule: ribosomal RNA, 277 nt
Filed under: uncultured bacterium
Lineage: Bacteria
Description: partial small subunit ribosomal RNA
Rfam family: Bacterial small subunit ribosomal RNA
Source: RNAcentral
AGAAUCAACGCUGGCGGCGUGCCUAACACAUGCAAGUCGAACGCGAAAGGGGACUUCGGUUCCUGAGUAGAGUGGCGUCCGGGUGAGUAACACGUGGGUAAUCUGCCUUCGGGUGGGGAAUAACUCAGGGAAACUUGAGCUAAUACCGCAUAAUGCAGCGGCACCUAAUGGUGAUUAGUUGUUAAAGCGGGGGAUCGCAAGACCUCGCGCCUGAAGAGGAGCCUGCGGCAGAUUAGCUAGUUGGUAAGGUAAUGGCUUACCAAGGCUUCAAUCUGUA